Molecule: ribosomal RNA, 493 nt
Filed under: uncultured bacterium
Lineage: Bacteria
Description: partial 16S ribosomal RNA
Rfam family: Bacterial small subunit ribosomal RNA
Source: RNAcentral
AGUGAACGCUGGCGGUAGGCCUAACACAUGCAAGUCGAACGGCAGCACAGUAAGAGCUUGCUCUUACGGGUGGCGAGUGGCGGACGGGUGAGGAAUACAUCGGAAUCUACUUUUUCGUGGGGGAUAACGUAGGGAAACUUACGCUAAUACCGCAUACGACCUACGGGUGGAAGCAGGGGAUCUUCGGACCUUGCGCGAUUGAAUGAGCCGAUGUCGGAUUAGCUAGUUGGCGGGGUAAAGGCCCACCAAGGCGACGAUCCGUAGCUGGUCUGAGAGGAUGAUCAGCCACACUGGAACUGAGACACGGUCCAGACUCCUACGGGAGGCAGCAGUGGGGAAUAUUGGACAAUGGGCGCAAGCCUGAUCCAGCCAUACCGCGUGGGUGAAGAAGGCCUUCGGGUUGUAAAGCCCUUUUGUUGGGAAAGAAAAGCAGCAGGUUAAUACCCCGCUGUUCUGACGGUACCCAAAGAAUAAGCACCGGCUAACUUCGUGC